RNAcentral lists this long non-coding RNA (208 nucleotides) under Mytilus galloprovincialis (Mediterranean mussel). The record is from RNAcentral. Lineage: Eukaryota; Metazoa; Mollusca; Bivalvia; Mytilida; Mytilidae.
AUUCAACCGUUAUAUAACCCUAAUUACAUUACAGUUUUUGAUCAUUUUCCAAACCUUAAAGAUUUGUAAUUUUCUCGUUAAUGAUGGUAUCUGAUGUGCAUUUAGCAUUGUACAGCAAAAUGUAGAAAAACAAAGAAAUCAACCAAAAGUUCUAUCAAAAUGUGACCAGGCAUACACAUUUUUAAUUCUAUUUCGUAGUCUUUGCUCA